GCGAAGAGGUCACACCCGUUUCCAUACCGAACACGGAAGUUAAGCUCUUCAGCGCCGAUGGUAGUCGGGGGUUUCCCCCUGUGAGAGUAGGACGCCGCCAAGC
This 103-nucleotide ribosomal RNA is filed under the name Bacillus inaquosorum. The record is from RNAcentral. Lineage: Bacteria; Bacillati; Bacillota; Bacilli; Caryophanales; Bacillaceae.